UACGUAGGGGGGCUAGCGUUGUCCGGAAUCAUUGGGCGUAAAGAGCGCGUAGGCUGCUCGGUAAGUCCGCUGUAAAAAGUCAAAAGGCUUAACCUUUGAAUGUCGAUGGAUACUGCCGGGCUAGAGUCCGGAAGAGGCGAGUGGAAUUCCUGGUGUAGCGGUGAAAUGCGUAGAUAUCUGGAGGAACACCGGUGGCGAAGGCGGCAUCCUGGACCGGCAUUGACGCUGAGGCGCGAAAGCCAGGGGAGCAAACAGG
RNAcentral lists this ribosomal RNA (256 nucleotides) under uncultured bacterium. Its description in RNAcentral is "partial 16S ribosomal RNA". It matches the Rfam family "Bacterial small subunit ribosomal RNA", at positions 524 to 776 of the family's 1533-position model. The record is from RNAcentral.